AUGGUGAUCAAUUUCAUUUGCUGGCCAAGUACCAAACCGGCAUGGAUCUUGGCGCUGCUGCUCAACCUGGUCACGAUGAUUCAAGUCCACGGCCAGCCUCCUUCUUCUGGGUUCAUAAGCAUCGACUGUGGAUUGAGAAACAGCAGUUCCUACAACGACAGCGCCACUGGGCUACGGUUCGAUCCUGACCGUGGAUUUGUCGAGGGUGGCAUGAGUAAACAGAUUUCUCAAGAGUUUAUGGAUGCUGCCGAAAAUGAGCAACAAAAAACCCUGAGGAGCUUUCCUGAUGGCUCAAGGAAUUGCUAUACACUGCCAUCCACCAUCGGUAAGAAGUAUCUAUUGAGAGCCACGUUUACUUAUGGCAACUAUGAUGGGUUGAACAAGACUCUGGACGGGUCAUUGUUUCUGUUUGGGCUCCAUAUCGGUGUUAAUUCCUGGGACAUGGUAAACUUGACAAAUUGGGACCACACGAGUAUACUAUGGAACGAGGUGCUCACCGUUGCUCCGAGCAACUCCGUGUCCGUCUGCUUGGUAAACUUCGGUUCAGGGAUUCCCUUCAUAUCCUCAUUGGAGCUAAGGCCACUUGAAAAUACGAUGUACCCUUUUGUCAAUACUUCUGUUUCAAUUGGGCUUUUGGAUCGAACCAGAUAUGGCAACGUCACUGACUAUAUUACAAGGUAUCCAGCGGACAAUUAUGACCGUUUCUGGCAAAGCAACUCCAAUUCCUACCCCGCGGUGAACCUGAACACUACCAAUAAAGUGGAGAGCCUCCCUGGCAACAACUUCAAUAUACCGUCGGUCAUCAUGCAGAAUGCCGUGACCGUAGACAUGAACUUCUCCAGGUCCAGGAUAAUGAUCUCCCUGGAAGCAACUUCUAAUCUAGACACCAAGAGCCUGCAGCUUCUCCCAAUCUUUCACUUUGCCGAGAUCAAUGGGAGCAACCCAAACAGGAGGUUCGACAUCUACAGCGAUGGCGAAUUGCUGUUCUCAGACUUCUCCCCUUCACGAUUCCAGGUGGACAGCAUGCACCAGAACGGUCGUUUCUUGCGCAACCAUAAUGCAUCCUUCCUCCUGAACAAGACGGGCAGCUCGACACUCAAGCCGUUGAUCAACGCGUUCGAGGCCUACUUCCUCGUUCGGAUGGAUAACCUCACUACUGACUCGGAAGAUGUCCAUUACAUGAAAGAAGUCAAGAACCACUACAAUUUGACACGAAUAAAUUGGAAUGGAGAUCCGUGCUCCCCAAGAGAAUAUUCCUGGGAAGGUUUGACUUGUGACUACUCAAAGAGCAACCAGAAUCCAAGGAUUGUUUCAGUAAAUCUCUCUGCGAAUGGACUGAAAGCUGGAUUAGCCGUAUCAUUCAUGAACAUGGUAUCACUAGAAAAUCUGGAUUUAUCACACAACAAUUUGACGGGAGCUAUUCCAGACUAUCAACUAAAGUCACUCAAAAUUCUGAACUUGUCAAACAACCAGCUCGUUGGGCCAAUCCCCGAUUCUAUUCUUCGAAGAUUUCAGGCUGGUUUGCUUGAUUUAAGAUUGGAAGGCAACCCCAUAUGCUCAAAAGUCAAAGAUACGUACUGCUCAAAUAAGAAGAAGAAUACCAUACAAACAAUGCUUAUCACAGUGACGGUUCCUGUGGUACUUGUAUCCCUCCUAGUAUUGAUGUGCAUAACCUGGAUGUUAUGCUGGAAAGGGAAGUCAGACCGUGAGGAUUAUGCCAUGUAUGAAGAGGAAACUUCCCUACAUGUUGACAUCAAACGAUUCACGUACGUAGAGCUCAAGCUCAUAACAAAUGACUUCCAAUCAAUCAUUGGAAAAGGAGGUUUUGGUAUUGUUUAUCAUGGCAAACUGGAAAAUGGUGAUGAAGUAGCCGUUAAGGUGCUGAUGGAAACAUCAAUAGCGGAGUCAACAGACUUCCUCCCCGAGGUACAAACCUUGUCAAAAGUUCAUCACAAGAAUCUUGUGACUUUGAAAGGAUAUUGCCAAAACAAGAAGUGCCUCGCUCUCAUUUAUGACUUCAUGUCGAGAGGGAAUCUUCAACAACUCAUAAGAGGAGGAGAUGACUAUAGUUUGAAUUGGGAACAACGACUUCAUAUUGCACUUGAUGCUGCACAAGGGCUGGAGUAUCUACACGAGUCAUGCACCCCAUCAAUAGUUCACAGAGAUGUAAAGACCCCCAACAUCCUUCUAGACAAGAAUCUGGUGGGGAUAAUAUCUGAUUUUGGGCUUUCCCGGGCUUUUAAUGAUGCUCACACACACAUAUCUACUGUUGCUGCUGGCACUCUUGGCUACCUCGACCCUGAGUACCAUGCAACUUUCCAACUCACAGUCAAGACAGAUGUUUACAGUUUCGGCAUCGUGCUGUUGGAGAUCAUCACUGGCCAGCCCCCAGUAUUGAUGGAGCCACAAACCUUUCAUCUACCAAACUGGGUACGCCAUAAGAUUGCCAUGGGCAAUAUUCAUGACAUCGUGGAUAAGAGGUUGUUGGAUCAGUACGAUGCCAGUUCACUCCGGAGUGUGGUAGACCUCGCCAUGAACUGCGUCGAAAACGCGGCCAUCCACAGGCCGACCAUGACCGAGGUUGUUUCAAGGCUCAAAGAGUUGUUGCCAGUAGUUUCAAGCGAAAAGCUGUCUGUUUCUGCUUCAACUAGUAGCAUGAACCCCAUGGAUGCUGAAACUCGAAGGCAAUUUCAGUUGACGAUUUCUGGAGUAAGCAACGAGGAGAACUCCUUCCGGUCUGGUUAUACUGGUGGGAUGUCAGAAUUAAUCCCUUUGUCUGGACGGUGA
RNAcentral lists this ribosomal RNA (2787 nucleotides) under Triticum aestivum (bread wheat). RNAcentral's name for it is "partial small subunit ribosomal RNA". Lineage: Eukaryota; Viridiplantae; Streptophyta; Magnoliopsida; Poales; Poaceae. The record is from RNAcentral.